ACUCAGCAGAAGUUGAAAAGCUGCUGCUGACUAGGCUGAAAGCUUCAGGUCAGUCAAUGAGCAGUGUUUGGGAAGCCUUAGCACAACUUGGCAAAAGUGUGACCAGCUGCGGCUGCCCUGAGAUGAGCCGGACCUCAGCUUGAGAGCUGAAGCAGUUGCUGAAGGAGUUAACAGUUGGAGGCUGUCAGCCAGGCACACUCCUCGAAGCUGGCCAGUGAUUCCUUCUUUGAACAAGAAUGAGUGAUGUAUCUCCAUUUCUGCCUCACGGGAAUAAGGAGAUCUUGAGCUUCUACAAAAACGUGUAACAGAAAACCAACAACCAAUUCCACAGGGAUAUUGAGGAUAUGCAGUGGUUUUUCAACACACCCUGAAGAAAUGAUAACGUGCAAAGUGCGGCAUCUUAUUUCAGUCAAACUGUCUUUAGUGAAUCCUUUGGACACAGCUUUUGAAGUCUAAAUUACAUUAGAAUUCAUUCUAUGGAAAUGUGAUUUAUGAGGCAAUUCUUUUCUGAUAUUUGCUUGGUAUUCUUUUUAUGUAAAAAACGAGAAGCUCAAUUUUAAUCUGAAGAAUUAUAAAAGUGCCUCUCCCGAACCGGCAUCUUGUCUCAUUCCCACUGAGUCAGUCAAGAUGAGCAGGCUCGUUUUCUUGAAUGGACGUGUGUUAAUCCUGUGCUUAAUGACACGAUCCAACUGUAUCUGGAUUGAAUAUAUCAUCAGUUAAAAACUAUGAAACGAUAGCCUUUUUUCCAGUUCUCUGACCCAUAUCUUGGAUUAUGGACUCCACUAAGAAUAUGCUCCUCAUCAUAAACUCCCUUCCUCUAAUUGUUAAAGUUAUUUUAACAUUCUUUAAUGUCAAAUAUGAUUUGCUGACUUAAUAUAUUCAAUCAUUUGUUUCAUGUGCCCAAUAUCAUAUAGAUACCUCCUGGGGACUACAAAUGUCCCAGAGGCUGUCCUUGCUCUCAAAGAGCUUACACAGUCUUCUGGGGUUGACAG
RNAcentral lists this long non-coding RNA (992 nucleotides) under Equus asinus (donkey). RNAcentral describes it as "lncRNA (ENSEASG00005037179.1)". Lineage: Eukaryota; Metazoa; Chordata; Mammalia; Perissodactyla; Equidae. The record is from RNAcentral.